AUUGAACGCUGGCGGUAGGCCUAACACAUGCAAGUCGAACGGCAGCACAGUAAGAGCUUGCUCUUACGGGUGGCGAGUGGCGGACGGGUGAGGAAUACAUCGGAAUCUACUUUUUCGUGGGGGAUAACGUAGGGAAACUUACGCUAAUACCGCAUACGACCUACGGGUGAAAGCAUGGGAUCUUCGGACCUUGCGCGAUUGAAUGAGCCGAUGUCGGAUUAGCUAGUUGGCGGGGUAAAGGCCCACCAAGGCGACGAUCCGUAGCUGGUCUGAGAGGAUGAUCAGCCACACUGGAACUGAGACACGGUCCAGACUCCUACGGGAGGCAGCAGUGGGGAAUAUUGGACAAUGGGCGCAAGCCUGAUCCAGCCAUACCGCGUGGGUGAAGAAGGCCUUCGGGUUGUAAAGCCCUUUUGCUGGGAAAGAAAAGCAGCAGGUUAAUACCCCGCUGUUCUGACGGUACCCAAAGAAUAAGCACCGGCUAACUUCGUG
This 492-nucleotide ribosomal RNA is filed under the name uncultured bacterium. Its description in RNAcentral is "partial 16S ribosomal RNA". It matches the Rfam family "Bacterial small subunit ribosomal RNA", at positions 30 to 507 of the family's 1533-position model. The record is from RNAcentral.